GGCUAGGGGUCCAAUUGGAGCUGUAGCUGCCGGCCUACACCACAGCCACAACACCACCAGAUCUGAACCAUGUCUGCAACCUACACCACAGCUCACGGCAAUGCCGGAUCCUUAACCCACCGAGCAAGGCCAAGGAUCGAACCUGCAACCUCAUGGUUCCUAGUCGGAUUUGUUAACCACUGAGCCAUGGCAGGAGCUCCUACAAGGGUGUUAAUGUGCUCUUUUGCAGGUAGCAAAUAGUAAGUAAUAAUUUUUAUAAGCUGUAAGCAAAUCCUGCUCAGUAGAAUGUCUCAGACUCACUCUGUAUUGUUUCUUUAUGUUGCUGGCCUGGAACUGGGAGCAGCCCCCUUAGUUUUUGGACCCUGAGACUUCACAUUGAGCGCAGCAUUUGCCUCAUCCUUUUACCUUCUCAUUUCCUGGGUUCCACACACCGAAAGCCUCUGAGUAGAUACAAACUACUGUAUAUAAAGUAAAUAAACAAUAAGGCCCAACUGUAUAUUCAAUACCUUGUAAUAAACUAUAAUGGAAAAGAAUCUGAAAAAGAAUACACACACACACAUACACAUAAUGAAUCACUUUUCUGUUGACAAGAAACUAACACAACAUUAUAAGUCAAUUAUUCUUCAAUUUUAAAAAGGCUCUGAUUUAGCAUAUUGCUCGAUGCUUGAGAAUCUUUCUGAUUAAUCUCAUUGGGAAGCCAUGCCAAGAAAACAAGGAAGGGAGAAGAAAGGAAACAGAAGCCAAGUGGGUCUUCUUACAAUGAAAAAAAGUCCAGAGAUUUAAAAAAAGGUUUUUUUUCUUUUUCUUUUUUGGCUACUCCCAUGUCAUAUGGAGGUUCCUGGACCAGGGAUCGAAUCCAAGCUGGAGCUGUGACCCAAGCUGCAGCUGCAGCCAUUGCACCAGGCCAGGAGUUCCCAUUGUGGCUCAGCUGGUUAUGAACGUAACUAGUAUCCAUGAGGAUGCGGGUUCAAUCCCUGGCCUGUCUCAGUGGGUUAAGAUCCAGCAUUGCCUCGAGAUGUGGUGUAGGUCGCAGACGUAGCUCGCAUCUGGCAUUGCUGUGGUUGUGGCAUAGGUUGUCAGCCACAGCUCCAAUUCAACCCUUAGCCUGGGAACUUCCAUGUGCCGCAGGCUCGGCCCUAAAAUUCCAAAAAACAAAAAAAAGAAAGAAAACGUUUCAGAUUUGUGACCUUUUGUGCACAGGCUCCAAUCUAGAAAUCUUCUUUCACAACCUUGUAUCCCAGUCAUGCCAGAGUGGAUGUAGAUGUCAAACAGCCUAAGAGCAGACAUCUGUCACCGCAGGCUGUCCUGAAUCCAGGUCCCUCUUCUAACUGGUCUUGGAUUACCUUUCAGGAAUUACAUCUCCUCCACUGAGUGCAGUUUUAGUGAGCAGGCAAACUUAGGUGCUUGCAUCCUACCAUCAAAUCUGGAGAGGGGAGAGCCUUCCCGGUCUGAACUAAUACAGCUAGGGCCUGGGGCCUGAGGCUUGUGCUGGGCCAGUUGAGAAAAUUCUCCCUGGCUACAGACACUUAAGGAGUGAAGAUAGUUCCCCCCACCUCCCCCGACCCCCACCCCUUUUUUUUUCUCAUUUUUGGCCACCCCACAACAUACGGAGUUCCUGGGCAGGGAUCAGCUCUGAGCUGCAGUCGCCACCCAAGCUGCAGCUGCAGCAGCACUGGAUCCUUAACCCACUGUCCCGAGCUAGUGCUCCCAAGUCACCGCCAAUCCCAUUGUGCCACAGUGGGAACUCCAUUUUUCCCAUUUUUAAAAAUUGUGGUGAAAUACAUAUAACAUAAAAUAGACCAUCUUAGCCAUUUUUCAGUGUACAGUUCAGUGGUAUUAAAACCAUUCACAGUGUUGGGCAGCUAUCAGUAGCACCCAUGUCCAUAACCCCUUGCAUCUUGUUAAACUGAAACUCUAUACCCUAUAAACAUUACCUCCCCACCCCCCUUCCCCAUCCCCUGGCAACUACCAUUCUAAUUUCAAACUGGUUUUAUGACUUCGACUACUCUAAGUAAGGAUGGUUCUUCACAGCCAUCAUGAAGAGCUGCUUGGGUUCCUACAUACUGAUUCUGUGAGCCUGAACUUAGAGUUUCCUGUUGAUUUUAUGAGCCCCUAAUGUCUUUCCAAUACAUAUUUCCUUUCUCCUAAAUUAGUCAUUUCAUUCAUUUUCUUCCCUUCCUUCCUUCCUCUUUCUUUUUUUCUUUUUCUUUCUUUUGUGUGUGUGUGUGUCUUUUUAGGGCUGCACCCAGGACAUGCGGAAGUUCCCAGGCUAGGGGUUGAAUUGGAGCUGCAGCUGCCGGCCUACACCACAGUCACAGCAACUCUCAGAUCCAAGCUUAUCUGCAACCUACACAACAGCUCCUGUCAAUGCCAGAUCCUUAACCCACGGAGCAAGGCUACUGAACUUCAUAGAUAUAGGCAGGUUUUUUAACCGCUGAGCCAUGACUGGAACUCCUCAUUCAUUUUUUUAAAUUAUAGGAAAAAUAGAUGUUCAUAGCAGAUGAACAAUUUAGUAAUAGAAAUUCAGUACACUGAAGGUUGAGGUUCUUUCCCUAGGAAAACCACUGUUAACGGUUUGGUAUGUAUCCUUACAAAUAUUUUCUAUGUACAUAUAUAGAGAGAUGGACUGAUCCUCCAGAUAAUUUAGAAUUUAUGGGAGAAUGGAAGGGAUUUUUACCAAAAAGGGGAUCAUACUAAAUAUAUUCUUAUAUAUAUUAUUUUUUUCACUCGAUAUAGCAUAAAUGUCUUUCUUGUCAGUACAUAGAAAUCUGUCAUUCCUGGAGUUCCCGUCGUGGCGCAGUGGUUAACGAAUCUGACUAGGAACCAUAACCCACUGAGCAAGGCCAGGGAUCCUUAACCCACUGAGCAAGGCCAGGGAUCAAACCCACAACCUCAUCGUUCCUUCGGGGAUUCGUUUCCGCUGCUCUGCGAUGGGAACUCCUAUCAGUUAUGUAUUGCAAUUAUUCUCUCCAAAUUAGUGAUUAGUCUAAUUUUAGUUUUGGUGUCUUUGGUUGUUGUAUAUGUUCUUUAUAAUUUCUAUCAUUUUUAUCUUUAUGGCUCCUGAUCACAUUGAAGAAAGGUCUUCCUGCCCCCAAGCUAUAAAUGAACAUAGUUCCAUGCAUUUCCUCCUAGGGCAGCAGCACGGUGCAGUGGUCCUCUGUAAGAAGUAGAGGUCCCGGAGCCAGAUUUCUUAGCCUCAGAUCCUAGCUCUGGUCCCUAUCAGUUGCAUGACCCUUAAUCUCUCUGCCUUAGUUUUCUCACCAGUAAAAUGGGUGGAGACUGUGGUGAGGAUUAAGUGAGUGAACAUAUAUGCACAGUAUUUAGGAUGGUGCUGAGCACACAGUAAAUAAUGUGUGUGCUGUUAUCUAGUUCCUUUUCAGUUUUUUUAACAUUUACAUUUUUGAUAUACCUUUCUUUGCAUGGUGAUUUGAGUCUAUUUUUUUCUCAGACAGAUAGCUAGUUUUAUAAUACAGUCUGUUUCCCCACUGAUUUGAAAUGUUAUCUUUAGGAUAGAUUAAGGUGCAGGCUAUCUCUAGAAGUGCCCUAAGCGGUCCCAGCCUUAGCACUUUGUUGACUCCUCGGGAACCUGUUAGAUAGAAAUUCGAAGUUGAAUUUAAUAAUGUUCAGACCCUUGAUCUCUCUCCUAUGAGCCCCACCCAAACAUAGUUUGGAAGGCCACCCCAGUUGCUCUACCUAAGGACAAGCCUGCCAAGGGCUGUGUUCUUGAAAAAGCAGAUCUAAUCUAAAAAUGUGUAUACCACAAGGUAUUUCCUCUGAGAUAAUAAUGCUAAGAGAGGAAGAGAACUCAGUCGUUCUGAGGAUGUAGGAGCAUGUAGAGUCUAUGCAUGAAGAUGGGAUAUGUUUAGCCAUCAAGGGUGACUGGAGUUAGUGGAGGGCUUCACAAGGGUAAGAGGGUUAUCUACAUUAUAGAUUUUGGUGUACACUGGAAGGCCGAGAACCAGAGAUUCAACUUCAGCUUCUCCUUUAAGACUUACUCACAAACACAACUGCUUAAGGUGUGCUGCCAUCUCAUGGCCAAACCUGUGUUACAAUCAAAUGACAAGCAGUUAGAUCAAAAAGUGAAGCAGCUAUAGGAACAUGAUUAUUGAGGCAGAAUAGUAACUUGGGUAGUCAGUGCAGGAGCAUGGGCUUCGAUGCAUUCUUUGAUAGGGCUAUUGAUUGACAUUUGUGGCUUAAGGGCUCCAGGGAGUAACAUCCCCACAGGCCCACAGGGAGUGUACCUACGCCCAGAGGGACAUUUUAAUCUCUAAUCCCCUGUGACUCAGUUUACGGGAAGAGAAGGGCAAAGAAACCAUGAGACUUAUGGGACAUUUCCACCCCUAAGUCCCCUGUUGGACAAGGACUGAUAAGGUAACUGGGCAAGGCCAAUGGGAGAAAACCACAUCUUUCUGGACCCCAUGUUGGUACCCCCCCAUCUUUAAGGGAUACAAACCCCUAUAAGACAAUAGGGGGGGCUCUUCUCCCCCUCCCAGCUGUCCUGGGAGCUGUUUGCUUUCCUAAAAUAAAGACUUUGCUUGCUU
This 4541-nucleotide long non-coding RNA is filed under the name Sus scrofa (pig). RNAcentral describes it as "lncRNA (ENSSSCG00000056760.1)". The record is from RNAcentral. Lineage: Eukaryota; Metazoa; Chordata; Mammalia; Artiodactyla; Suidae.